This 509-nucleotide ribosomal RNA is filed under the name uncultured bacterium. Its description in RNAcentral is "bacterial SSU rRNA". It matches the Rfam family "Bacterial small subunit ribosomal RNA", at positions 8 to 526 of the family's 1533-position model. The record is from RNAcentral.
AGGGUUUGAUCAUGGCUCAGGACGAACGCUGGCGGUGCGCCUUAUGCAUGCAAGUUGAGCGAAGCUUUUUGGUAGUUUACUACGAGAAAUGACUGAGCGGCGAACGGGUGAGUAACGCGUGAGCAAUCUACCUUAGUUACUGGGAUAGCCCGAGGAAACUCGGAUUAAUACCGGAUAUUCUUAUUUUUUCACAUGAAGUUUUAAGGAAAGGUCAGCCGAACUAAGAUGAGCUCGCGUUCUAUCAGCUAGUUGGUGGGGUAAAAGCCUACCAAGGCUACGACGGAUAGCUGGUCUGAGAGGAUGAUCAGCCACACUGGGACUGAGACACGGCCCAGACUCCUACGGGAGGCUGCAGCAGGGAAUAUUGUGCAAUGAGCGAAAGCUUGACACAGCGACACCGCGUGUGGGAUGACGGUUCUAGGAUUGUAAACCACUUUCAGGAGGGGAGAAAAUGACGGUACCUCCACAAGAAGACUCGGCCAACUAUGUGCCAGCCGCCGCGGUAAUAC